CCAUGCUGACAUGAGUAGCGAUAAAGAGGGUGAAAGGCCCUCUCGCCGUAAGUCCAAGGUUUCCUACGCAACGUUCAUCGGCGUAGGGUGAGUCGGCCCCUAAGGCGAGGCAGAGAUGCGUAGCUGAUGGGAAGCAGGUUAAUAUUCCUGCACCAUUGUUUAAUGCGAUGGGGGGACGGAUCGCGGAAGGUCAUCAGGGUGUUGGAAGUCCCUGUUGCUGCAUCAUAGAAGGCACUUAGGCAAAUCCGGGUGCGUAAUUCAAGGGUGUGGCACGAGCGAACUUGUUCGCGUAGUGAUCGGAAGUGGUUCCAAGAAGAGCCUCUAAGCUUCAGUUAAACAAGACCGUACCGCAAACCGACACAGGUGGACGGGAUGAGUAUUCUAAGGCGCUUGAGAGAACUCAGGAGAAGGAACUCGGCAAAUUGAUACCGUAACUUCGGGAGAAGGUAUGCCCUGGUAGCGUGAUGCGCCUGCGCGCAAAGCGUGAAAGGGUCGCAGAUAAUCGGUGGCUGCGACUGUUUAAUAAAAACACAGCACUCUGCAAACACGAAAGUGGACGUAUAGGGUGUGACGCCUGCCCGGUGCCGGAAGGUUAAUUGAUGGGUGCAAGCUCUUGAUCGAAGCCCCGGUAAACGGCGGCCGUAACUAUAACGGUCCUAAGGUAGCGAAAUUCCUUGUCGGGUAAGUUCCGACCUGCACGAAUGGCGUAACGAUGGCCACACUGUCUCCUCCUGAGACUCAGCGAAGUUGAAAUGUUUGUGAUGAUGCAAUCUACCCGCGGCUAGACGGAAAGACCCCAUGAACCUUUACUGUAGCUUUGCAUUGGACUGUGAAUCGGUCUGUGUAGGAUAGGUGGGAGGCGCUGAAGCGAGGUCGCUAGAUCUCGUGGAGCCAACCUUGAAAUACCACCCUGAUUUAUUUGCGGUUCUAACCUUGGUCCGUUAUCCGGAUCGGGGACAGUGCAUGGUGGGCAGUUUGACUGGGGCGGUCUCCUCCUAAAGGGUAACGGAGGAGUUCGAAGGUACGCUAGGUACGGUCGGAAAUCGUGCUGAUAGUGCAAUGGCAUAAGCGUGCUUAACUGUGAGACUGACACGUCGAACAGGUGCGAAAGCAGGACAUAGUGAUCCGGUGGUUCUGAAUGGAAGGGCCAUCGCUCAACGGAUAAAAGGUACUCUGGGGAUAACAGGCUGAUACCGCCCAAGAGUUCAUAUCGACGGCGGUGUUUGGCACCUCGAUGUCGGCUCAUCUCAUCCUGGGGCUGUAGCCGGUCCCAAGGGUAUGGCUGUUCGCCAUUUAAAGAGGUACGUGAGCUGGGUUUAAAACGUCGUGAGACAGUUUGGUCCCUAUCUGCCGUGGGCGCUGGAAAUUUGAUGGAGCCUGUUCCUAGUACGAGAGGACCGGAAUGGACGUACCUCUGGUGUACCGGUUGUCAUGCCAAUGGCAUUGCCGGGUAGCUAUGUACGGAAGAGAUAACCGCUGAAGGCAUCUAAGCGGGAAACUCGUCUAAAGAUAAGAUUUCCCGGGGGCUUGACCCCCCUAAAGGGCCGUUCGAGACCAGGACGUUGAUAGGUCAGGUGUGGAAGCGCAGUAAUGCGUUAAGCUAACUGAUACUAAUUGCCCGUGCGGCUCGAUCCU
This 1635-nucleotide ribosomal RNA is filed under the name metagenome. RNAcentral's name for it is "bacterial LSU rRNA". It matches the Rfam family "Bacterial large subunit ribosomal RNA", at positions 1292 to 2925 of the family's 2925-position model. The record is from RNAcentral.